AUGGCAGCGUACUACCACGGCGGCGCCGGCACGGACAUCCAUCAGGCCGGCAGCGACGGCCUGCAAACACUGUACCUCAUGAACCCAAGCUACGGCAACGGCAGCUACGGGGACGCCGGGCCCUCCGGGGCCAACAUGAUGCUCCUCAACUCGGCGGUGAGCUCCAUGACCCCGGCGUCCUUCGGCGGCCACCAGGCGUCGCCACCGCCGGGGCAGCACUUCGUCGGCAUCCCUCUCCAGGCGCCCCCCUCGGGCUACAACCUGUGGACCCCUGCCACAACCGGCAUCGCCGACGUCAUGUCGCCGCCGACGCAGCAGGCUCAUGGCGUGAGUGCCGUGCUCAGCCUGUCGUCCCGCGAGACGCCGCCGGUCACGGUGGCGUCCAUCGCCGGCGACGAAGGGAGGUACCACCUUGGGGCGACGACCGCGGCGUCGCAGGGGCAGGUGGUGAUGAACUCCAAAUACCUCAGGGCGGCGCAGGAGCUGCUCGACGAGGUGGUGAGCGUGAGCAAGGGCGUGGACGACGUGGACGCCAAGGCGAAGAGCGCUGUGUCGGUCAAGAAGAAGGAGGAUUCGGAAGGCCUUUCCGGCGGCGGCGGGGAGGAAGGCGCCAGCGGGGCCAAGGGUGGCGCGCCAGCGCCCGAGAUGUCGACGGCGGAGCGGCAGGAGCUGCAGAUGAAGAAAGGCAAACUGGUUAACAUGCUUGACGAGGUGGAGCAGCGGUACCGGCAGUACCACCAGCAGAUGGCGUCGGUGUCGUCGUCGUUCGAGGCGGUGGCCGGCGCCGGGUCGGCGCGGACGUACACGGCGCUGGCGCUGCGCACCAUCUCGCGGCAGUUCCGCUGCCUCCGCGACGCCAUCGCCUCCCAGGUGCGCGCCGCCAGCCGCGCCCUGGGCGAGGACUGCGACGCCGAGGGGCUCGGCGGCGGACUCGGCGGAGGGCGCGGCGUCGGUUCGCGGCUCCGGUACAUCGACCACCAGCUCCGGCAGCAGCGCGCGCUGCAGCAGUUGGGCAUGAUGCAGAGCAGCGCGUGGCGCCCGCAGCGGGGCCUCCCCGAGCGCUCCGUCUCCAUCCUCCGUGCAUGGCUCUUCGAGCACUUCCUCCACCCAUACCCCAAGGAUUCGGACAAGAUCAUGCUCGCCAAGCAGACCGGCCUCACCAGGAGCCAGGUGUCGAACUGGUUCAUCAACGCGAGGGUGAGGCUGUGGAAGCCGAUGGUGGAGGAGAUGUACCUGGAGGAGACCAAGGAGCAUCAGCAGCAGCAGGACGGCGGCGACGACAAGGGGAGGCCGACCGGGUCCGGCCCCGCCGGAGGAAAGAGCAGCAGCAACGCGGACGGCGUGGACGACGGCACUCCGAGGUCCAUGGCCAGAGCGGCGGUGGGGGCCGGGACGUCGGAGGGCGGCGGCGCCGUCCAGGCGUCCUUGCUCGAGCUCGCCGGAGACCACCAGGCGCACGCGGGGUUCUACGACGAGGAGGGUGAGGAUGGCGGGUUGCGGCGCGGCUUCAAGAAGGCGAGGGCGGCCGACCUCGAGCAGCAACCGCCAGCGGCGUUCGACUUCGGCGCGUUGCACCACGCGCAGGCAGCCGCGGCGGCCGCGGCCGCCGCAGCGAGGCAGCAGCACGACGAGGUGACCCACCGGGAGCUGCUCAUGAAGUUCAUGGAGAGCGGCGGCGCGGCGGGCGCGAGGGACCACCACCACCACCAACAGGACGAGGACGGGGCCGGCGGCGGGUACUCUCUGUUCGCGCCGGGGCCGUACGGGCAGUUCGGCACCGACCAGUCGUUCGCGUUCGCCGGGGCCGGGCAGCACGGCGGCGUCUCGCUCACGCUCGGCCUCCCCCACGGCGCCGGCGACCAGACGGCGUUCCUCAUGGGAGGCGGCAGCAGCAACGGCGCCGACAGCGGUGGCAGCGGCGCCGCCGGCUACGACAUGAACAUGCAGACCACCAAGUCCUUCGCGGCUCAGCUCAUGAGAGACUUCGUGGCAUAG
Molecule: ribosomal RNA, 1995 nt
Filed under: Triticum aestivum (bread wheat)
Lineage: Eukaryota; Viridiplantae; Streptophyta; Magnoliopsida; Poales; Poaceae
Description: partial small subunit ribosomal RNA
Source: RNAcentral